UGGCUGCAAAGCUCCCAGACUGUGAAGCAACAAAUGCAGUGUGGUGACUGUCCCUAAUUGUAAGCCCCACUCACUGUUUUUCCAUUUUUGUUCAUUGUAGGUAAUCACAGUUUUGUACUCAGCUGUAGAGCAUCAUGUACACUAAUUGGCACUGACGUUGCUACUGGCUACCACUUUUAUUUUGGAAAAGCAUUGAAGGCAAAAGCAUGCAAAUUCCCAUCUAAGUACUUCAGUUAUUUGAAUUCUUUAUAUGCAGUUCUCUGAGAAAGCAUGAACAAGCAUUGGUCUUGAUUAUCUGAAUAUAAUUAGAAGCUUUCUGCAGAAGAAAUAAUAUGAGAACGAACAUCUUACAUCAGGCACAAAGUGAGGUAAUUUGUGAAGAGAUGAAUUGGGACAGGAACAGGAAAGAAGAUGGAGGAGAGAAGAAUCUGCAAGAGGAAAACUACAUUUACUGAGGUUUCUGUGCAGUUAAAACAGAAACAACUGUGGAGUGGACUAUUGACAAAGGACAGAAUAAUGACUCAUCUGAUUCUUCAAAAGUGUAGCAAAAGGUAAUUGCUAUUCUUUAUUCCAAGCAUACACAGAAAUAAGCCCUGAUACUUAGUUUGAGCCCAUGUAUAAUUGUUAGUGUUUAUUGUUGCAUAUUCUACUUGUAUUCUAAUAUUGAACUCACAGCUCACUUUGAGUUCUAUUGUAUACAAAUACCAAAUAAAUGUUGCCCCAUGGAGCAAAUAAAAAAGAAAUUGUUUUAUGGAUUGUCAUGAAUGUAAGCAAUUCAGAAAAGAUUUAGAUAGCAAAAGUAGGGUUGUCAUCCAGGGAGUUUGGAGUUGUUGAGAGUGUCAUUCAUUUGUCAGGUCUUAUUUUGUUAGUGCCAAUCUAAUUUUUUUUUCCUCAACUGUGUUGGAAGAAAAAUGCUAAGCAGGUUAUUGCAAUUAGUUUUCUGUAAAAAUAAUGACCUGCAUUAUUGGCAGUCUUAAUGUCGCCUUGUUAUUUACCUUUCAUAGUUUCUGGUUCGCAGGCAAUUAAAGCCUGCUCUGCACUCUGUAGAGGUUUAUUUUCAUAGGAAGUUUUCUGUCCCCUCUCCAUCUUGCAUAAAAAGAGGAGUUUUACUUACCAGUGAUUCUGCCUCACUAAAGCUGUGAAAUCACUUUUCUACUGUAUGAACUCAAAUAACUUGCUGAAAAGGCUCUCUCUUUUUAUCACAGUUAAAACUCAUUUCUUUUCUAUUUAUCUGAAUAUAUCUUAUAGUUCCUUAGGCUAGGAAAUAGGAAUAAGUGU
This is a long non-coding RNA of Felis catus (domestic cat), 1278 nucleotides long. RefSeq lists it as uncharacterized. Lineage: Eukaryota; Metazoa; Chordata; Mammalia; Carnivora; Felidae. The transcript is spliced from 3 exons. The record is from RefSeq and is a predicted model, not a curated record.